CACUCAUGAUCAAUUUGUGUUUCUAUUUCCCCUUCCCUCUUCAUCUUCAGCCAUAUUCUUUCCCAUUCCCUCAUUUGACCAAUGAAAUCUCUAAUGUCUAAAUGCUAAUUGAUUCAUCAAUGACCUUGUGUCAGAUGAAUCAAUACAAGUAUGAUUGCGAUAGGUCCCUCCCAUUUUCUUUUAGUGUGUGGAAUGUUUUAGGAGUUUGGCUCUUUGUACCAAAUCUCUAACAUGCAUUAACACCUAUAUUUUCA
RNAcentral lists this long non-coding RNA (254 nucleotides) under Lathyrus oleraceus (garden pea). Its description in RNAcentral is "Pisum sativum (pea) long non-coding RNA (PSAT_LNC012431)". Lineage: Eukaryota; Viridiplantae; Streptophyta; Magnoliopsida; Fabales; Fabaceae. The record is from RNAcentral.